UGACCACUCAAGCCUAGCUUGGUAUUGGGGUUCGCGGUCUCGCGGCUCAUAAAAUCAGUGGCAGUGCCGUCCGGCUCUAAGCGUAGUAAUUUUCUCGCUAUGGAGUCCGGGUGGUUGCUUGCUAAAAACCUCAACUCCUCAC
This 142-nucleotide unclassified non-coding RNA is filed under the name uncultured Hyaloscyphaceae. RNAcentral describes it as "sequence contains ITS2". The record is from RNAcentral. Lineage: Eukaryota; Fungi; Ascomycota; Leotiomycetes; Helotiales.